This 62-nucleotide transfer RNA is filed under the name Ptiliidae sp. BMNH 1274724. RNAcentral describes it as "tRNA-Glu". The record is from RNAcentral. Lineage: Eukaryota; Metazoa; Arthropoda; Insecta; Coleoptera; Ptiliidae.
AUUUAUAUAGUUUAUAAAAACAUUAUAAUUUCAAUAUAAAAAUGAAUUUUAUUCUAUAAAUA